RNAcentral lists this ribosomal RNA (888 nucleotides) under uncultured archaeon. Its description in RNAcentral is "bacterial SSU rRNA". The stretch from base 1 to 626 matches the Rfam family "Archaeal small subunit ribosomal RNA". The record is from RNAcentral.
GAUAACCCCGGGAAACUGGGUAUAAUACCCGAUAGGUCUCGAUUGCUGGAAUGCAUCGAGAUUUAAAGCUCCGGCGCCUAAGGACGGGUCUGCGGCCUAUCAGGUAGUAGUGGGUGUAGCGUACCUACUAGCCUACGACGGGUACGGGUUGUGAGAGCAAGAGCCCGGAGAUGGAUUCUGAGACACGAAUCCAGGCCCUACGGGGUGCAGCAGGCGCGAAAACUUUACAAUGCUGGCAACAGCGAUAAGGGAACCUCGAGUGCCAGGUUACAAAUCUGGCUGUCGAGAUGCCUAAAAAGCAUUUCAUAGCAAGGGCCGGGCAAGACCGGUGCCAGCCGCCGCGGUAACACCGGCGGCUCGAGUGUUAACCGUUAUUAUCGGGUCUAAAGGGUCUGUACCCGGCGGGAUAAGUCUCUCGAGAAAUCUCGCAUCUUUUCUGUCUCGGGUUCACGAGAUACCGUGUGGGUCGCGUCCCGGAGAGAUGAGAGAGGCAUAUAAGGUAUAGGCGUGAACUCUUGUAUUCCUAGAAUGAUUCAGGGUGAAGAACGCCUCGCAUCUAAACCCGUGUGACCGCCCAGGGAUUACACCUAGUGGCACGAGCCGCAUUACAGACGAGACGUACUCCUCAGCGGGAGCGACUCUUCGGUAUGAGUCAAUCCACGCUGCGCCCGUUGAUCUGCGUCGCAGUUAUCCGGGGCAUGGAGCAAACUGUAUCUCCUGGCCCGCAGGAUUGUAUAUUUAGAGUAAUUGCCGGGAGAACUUCUCCAGCGCUUGUACCUUGUUUUUAAAACUCGAUAAAAACGCUGUACAUAUUCAGGGCGCCGGGAUAUAACAGUGGAGGGCUGGGCUGAGUACUUGUGCCGGCAUUUGCUUAGAAAGUGGUUGUAU